AUAUCAAUAAGCGGAGGAAAAGAAACCAACAGGGAUUGCCUCAGUAACGGCGAGUGAAGCGGCAAAAGCUCAAAUUUGAAAUCUGGCCUCUGGUCCGAAUUGUAAUUUGAAGAAGCGACUUUGGUACCGGCUCUUGUCUAUGUUCCUUGGAACAGGACGUCACAGAGGGUGAGAAUCCCGUGCGAUGAGAUGCUCCGGUGCUAUGUAAAGCGUUUUCGACGAGUCGAGUUGUUUGGGAAUGCAGCUCUAAGUGGGUGGUAAAUUCCAUCUAAAGCUAAAUAUUGGCGAGAGACCGAUAGCGAACAAGUACAGUGAUGGAAAGAUGAAAAGAACUUUGAAAAGAGAGUGAAAAAGUACGUGAAAUUGUUGAAAGGGAAGGGCUUGAGAUCAGACUUUGUAUUUCCAUGGCGCUCUUUCGGGGGUGUCCUCUGGGUUUACAGGGCCAGCAUGGGUUCUGCGGGCGAGACAAGGUUCUAGGAAUGUGGCUCUGCUUCGGUGGAGUGUUAUAGCCUGGGGUACUAGUCGCCACGCGGGACCGAGGACUGCGAUUCUAGGAUGCUGGCAUAAUG
RNAcentral lists this ribosomal RNA (569 nucleotides) under Suhomyces panamericanus. Its description in RNAcentral is "eukaryotic LSU rRNA". It matches the Rfam family "Eukaryotic large subunit ribosomal RNA", at positions 40 to 636 of the family's 3401-position model. The record is from RNAcentral. Lineage: Eukaryota; Fungi; Ascomycota; Pichiomycetes; Serinales; Debaryomycetaceae.